This is a long non-coding RNA of Malaclemys terrapin pileata, 599 nucleotides long. RefSeq lists it as uncharacterized. The record is from RefSeq and is a predicted model, not a curated record. Lineage: Eukaryota; Metazoa; Chordata; Testudines; Emydidae. The transcript has 3 exons.
UCAUGCAUGCAUUAGUUAUUUUUAGGGCUGUCAAGCAAUUAAAAAAAUUAAUCGUGAUUAAUUGAGAUAAGCAUUUAAUUGCAGUGUUAAACAAUAGUAGAAUACCAUUUAUUUAAAAAUGUUGGCAAUUUUUCUAUAUUUUCAAAUAUGAGCUGGAGGCUCCGGGCUUCAGCCCCAGUUGGGGUACUAGGCUGGGGGUGUCGGGCUUCAGCCCCAGUUGGAGUGUGGGGCGUCAGGCUCAGCCUUCAGUCGCUCUUUCCCUGCCCAGAGUGAUGAUAAAAGCACAAGGCCCAUUGUGACAGGCGAUGUACAAACAUAUAAGAAAGACCUGGUUCUUGCUUUGAAGAGCUUACAAUGUCAGUAUAAGAGAUAAAGCUCUAGGAAGUUUGUUCAAAGCUUUUCAGAAUCAACUGAUUGAGGACCCCAUACUGAACAGCGAGAGAAAGGCUUUAUAAAUAAGGCCUUAGGGCUACAACUUGUGCUGCAGAUGAUCUCCCAUGUCUGCUCUGUCUUCUGAUUUAUGAAUUUGGGGGACGAGGGGGGAGGACUCUUUUUUUAGAAUACAAUACAGUAUUUUAAAGUGCACUGGGACAUGAAAC